This 960-nucleotide small RNA is filed under the name Rattus norvegicus (Norway rat). RNAcentral describes it as "uncharacterized LOC103693477". The record is from RNAcentral. Lineage: Eukaryota; Metazoa; Chordata; Mammalia; Rodentia; Muridae.
UUUGAGAAGAAGCACCUCUAAAGAGGACACGUUUAAUACAGUUCGAGGAGUCGCAGUACCACAUGGAGAGGAAGCCAUGGCCACAGGGGUGUGAGGCAACUGGUCACGGAACAGACUACCUAGGUAUGAUCAUUUGAAUGGCACAUCAUCCGCUCAAGUCUUGGGCUCUCAACUGUUGCUCCAGGUCACAGGCUCUCCCUGAGGGUAGUCACGGCAGGAACUGAAGCAGAUACCGUGGAAGCACUGUUGCUUACUUACUCAGCCGACUGCUGAUACAGUUCAGGACCAUCUUGCCCAGGGUAUGAUGCCCACAGAGAGAGUGUCUUCUACGUGUCCACCCUGGCUCUUAAACUUCUUAUGACAUUCAGUUCAUCACCAUCAUCUCCUAUCUAAAGACUCCCCUGAUCCUCCAGUCCCAGCUGGUCCUGCCCCUCCUCUGGUCUCCAUCGCUCUUGUCACAAGGUGUUAUGGUCAGCCGCAUGUGCCUCUGUCUGCUACUACAUGCAAGUCCCACUGGGGCUGCCUGAUCCAUCAUCUUUGUAGCACCCUAGAUGUGAUCCUGGGCUUCCAUUAAUAUAUAUUCCACGGACCACAAUCAAGCAGUGGCUGAGUGGGGCAUGUGAUAAAGACCAAUCUUCGGGUGCAUUUCUAUGUCACUUCUUGCUACAGAGCUCAAAAUCCAGCCUCAAGAUACUUCAUGGACAAGUGAGACGGAUAUAAAAAGACACACUAAAUUCGUUCUGUUUUUUGACAUGCUCCACUCCGUUGGCGUUCAGUGAGCUAUCCAAUGAACUCUGGCACCGGAAGAAAGCUCUCUUGACCAAAGUAAAGAACCCCAGAGAGACCUUUAUUGGAGAAAUUUACAGAAAAAUAAUCCCAAAAUAGAUUUCAGAUGGAAAAGCGGCUUACAAAAAAAUUUCCAGGAAAGCUAAAAGUGAAAUAAAGAAGAGCUUCAAAGUG